RNAcentral lists this ribosomal RNA (548 nucleotides) under uncultured Glomus. RNAcentral describes it as "SSU rRNA". It matches the Rfam family "Eukaryotic small subunit ribosomal RNA", at positions 548 to 1098 of the family's 1831-position model. Lineage: Eukaryota; Fungi; Glomeromycota; Glomeromycetes; Glomerales; Glomeraceae. The record is from RNAcentral.
UUGGAGGGCAAGUCUGGUGCCAGCAGCCGCGGUAAUUCCAGCUCCAAUAGCGUAUAUUAAAGUUGCUGCAGUUAAAAAGCUCGUAGUUGAAUUUCGGGACCAAUAUGUCGGUCGUGCCUCGGUACGUACUGGCAUCGUUGGUUUCUCCCUUCUGACGAACCAUGAUGUCAUUUAUUUGGUGUCGUGGGGAAUCAGGACUGUUACUUUGAAAAAAUUAGAGUGUUUAAAGCAGGCUCACGCUUGAAUACAUUAGCAUGGAAUAAUGAAAUAGGACGUUUGAUUCUAUUUUGUUGGUUUCUAGGAUUGACGUAAUGAUUAAUAGGGAUAGUUGGGGGCAUUAGUAUUCAAUUGUCAGAGGUGAAAUUCUUGGAUUUAUUGAAGACUAACUACUGCGAAAGCAUUUGCCAAGGAUGUUUUCAUUAAUCAAGAACGAAAGUUAGGGGAUCGAAGACGAUCAGAUACCGUCGUAGUCUUAACCAUAAACUAUGCCGACUAGGGAUCGGAUGAUGUUAAUUUUUUAAUGACUCAUUCGGCGCCUUACGGGAAAC